GAGGUACUCCCUCCGUUCGAAAAUACUUGUCAUCAAAAUGAAUGUAUCUAGAACUAAAAUGCAUCUAUAUACAUCUAUUUCAAUGACAAGUAUUUCCGGACGGAGGGAGUAUUAG
Triticum aestivum (bread wheat) is the source of this 115-nucleotide non-coding RNA. The record is from Rfam. NCBI's taxonomy places the organism in Eukaryota, Viridiplantae, Streptophyta, Magnoliopsida, Poales, Poaceae.